UACGUAGGGUGCAAGCGUUAAUCGGAAUUACUGGGCGUAAAGCGUGCGCAGGCGGUUUUGUAAGUCUGUCGUGAAAGCCCCGGGCUCAACCUGGGAAUUGCGAUGGAGACUGCAAGGCUUGAAUCUGGCAGAGGGGGGUAGAAUUCCACGUGUAGCAGUGAAAUGCGUAGAGAUGUGGAGGAACACUGAUGGCGAAGGCAGCCCCCUGGGUCAAGAUUGACGCUCAUGCACGAAAGCGUGGGGAGCAAACAGG
RNAcentral lists this ribosomal RNA (253 nucleotides) under uncultured bacterium. Its description in RNAcentral is "partial 16S ribosomal RNA". It matches the Rfam family "Bacterial small subunit ribosomal RNA", at positions 524 to 776 of the family's 1533-position model. The record is from RNAcentral.